CCUACGGGUGGCUGCAGUGGGGAAUAUUUCACAAUGGGCGCAAGCCUGAUGCAGCGACGCCGCGUGAGCGAUGAAGGCCUUCGGGUCGUAAAGCUCUGUCCUAAGGGAAGAAUAAUGACGGUACCUUAGGAGGAAGCCCCGGCUAACUACGUGCCAGCAGCCGCGGUAAUACGUAGGGGGCGAGCGUUAUCCGGAAUCACCGCGCGGAAAGGGGGCGGAGGCGGCCCUGCAAAUCAGGAUUUAAAUCCCGAGGCUCCACCGAGGUCAGCUCUUGAAACUGUAGGGCUUGAGUGCAGGAGAGGAGAGCGGAAUUCCUAGUGUAGCGGUGAAAUGCGUAGUUAUUAGGAGGAACACCAGUGGCGAAGGCGGCUCUCUGGACUGCAACUGACGCUGAGGCACGAAAGCGUGGGGAGCGAACAGGAUUAGAUACCCGAGUAGUC
This 440-nucleotide ribosomal RNA is filed under the name uncultured bacterium. RNAcentral's name for it is "bacterial SSU rRNA". It matches the Rfam family "Bacterial small subunit ribosomal RNA", at positions 338 to 795 of the family's 1533-position model. The record is from RNAcentral.